This is an RNA transcript of Corticium candelabrum, 3266 nucleotides long. It is a transcript of the gene named far upstream element-binding protein 3-like, with no coding region annotated. The record is from RefSeq and is a predicted model, not a curated record. The transcript has 24 exons. Lineage: Eukaryota; Metazoa; Porifera; Homoscleromorpha; Homosclerophorida; Plakinidae.
CAUGCUCGAACCAAGCAUGGACGACAGACAGUACGGUGCUGUUCCUCCUCCAGGUGGCAAUAUGCAAGGACAGUCGUUUGCCGAAGCGCUGCGAAAAGCCAGAGAAAUUGCAAAGUCAAUGGCAGAAACGGCAGAAAAUUCAAGAAAGAGACAUCUUGACGAACCUCCAGAUUCACCUCCGUCAAAGUACUAUGCCAGUUCUAGUGUAGGAGGUAGGAUAGAUCCACAAAGAGCCAUUGCUGAGGCACGGGCAAAGGCAGCAGCAUUUGUUGCUCAGAGUAGGCAACAGUACGGCAUGGGUGGAGUUGUGACAAACGACAUCUUAAUACCGAACAAGUGUGUUGGACUUGUGAUUGGAAGAGGAGGAGACGUAAUUUCACGGUUACAAGCAGAAUCAAUGGCGAACAUUCAAGUAGCAUCUGAUGGAAUACCUACACCACACGACAGACAAAUAACAAUAACAGGAACACCCGAAUCAGUGAAUAAAGCAGAGGCAUUAAUACAUGACAUUGUAAAAGAGAAGGAAGGUGGAGUAGUGGGACAAAAUGAAGUGUGCACAGAAGAAAUCAUGAUUCCUGGCCCUAAAGUUGGAAUGGUGAUUGGUAAAGGAGGAGAGACAAUCAAGAGAAUGCAGGACGCCCUUGGUUGUAAGAUUGUAAUAAUCCAGGACUCUCACUCGGUAGGAGCUUCACCAAAGCCUCUUCGGAUAAUGGGCUCAUCAGAGUCUGUUGCAAGGGCAAAGAAAAUGGUGGAAGACGUUCUUGACUCGGUUGAUGGUGGCCAUGGGCAAGUUACGAUUAGCGUACCUGUACCAAGUGACAUGGUUGGAAUGAUAAUUGGAAAGCAGGGCGAGAACAUUCGACGGAUACAGAUGGACACUAACACUAAAAUACAGUUUGCGGAAGAGAACAGUAGCGGUUUUCGGACUGCUCUCUUGUCGGGUCCAGAGUCAGGAGCUAGACAUGCUGAAAGUAUGGUCAAAGAUAUGAUUGCCGCUCGGGCACAAGACAAAUCUGGUCGGAAUCCACCCGGUGUUCAGACUGUUAAAGUUGGAGUUCCUCACACGAGGACUGGCGUAGUCAUCGGAAAGGGUGGGGAGACUAUUCGUCUCUUACAGCAACAAUCGGGAGCACACAUUGAACUUGAUAGAAACGAAGAGCUAGGCCAGACUGAGAAGUUCUUUAUUGUCCGAGGCACUGAUGACCAGAUAGCUCGAGCGAAACAGCUCAUCAAGGAAAAGACAGACCCUGAAGGAGUCGCACCACCUACAACUGGUCAAGAAGGCUACCAGGCAACUGCUGCUGCAGGAGGCUACAGUCAAGAUCAAAUGACUGCAUAUCAAAUGUGGUAUGCACAAUAUGCUGCAGCAGCUGCAGCAGCGGCAAGCGGCGGUACAACUGGACAGUCAACGGAUGCUACUCAGGCAGCAUGGUCCGCUUACUACCAACAGUAUUUUAAUCAAAUGGCUGGUGGUGCUACUCAGGCACAAGCAUCUAGUGGUGCCACUGGAGAUCAGAGUUCAGAUAAGCAGCAGCAAACAGCGGAAGGUCAGCCUGAUUACACUGCUCAGUGGGCUGAGUACUACAGACAGAUGGGCUACACAUGGCCACAACAACAAACCGGACAAGCUCAGCAGCCUGCUGUGUCUCAACCAGGUGCACAACAAACAACUCAGCAGCAGAUGCCGCAGCAGCAACAGCAGAUGCCAGCGCAACAGCAAAUGCAACAACAAUUGCAGCAACAGCAAAUGACUCAGCAGCAACAGCAAAUGACUCAACAGCAAAUGCCGAUGCAGCCGAUGUUGCAGCAGUCGAUGCCGCAGCAACAAAUGCCACAGCAGCAAAUGCAACAGCAACAGAUGCAACAGCAGCAAAUGGCGCAGCAGCAACAAAUGGCACAGCAGCAACAAAUAGUGCAACAGCAAAUGCCACAGCAGCCGAUGCCACAGCAGCAAAUGGGACUACAGCUACCUCCACAGCAGAGGCCACUGCAACCGACACCACAGAUGCCACAACAACAAAUGCCACUGCAGCCCAAUAUGCCUCGGCACAUGGCAAUGCAAUCGCCGAUGCUAGCUCAAUCACGUGGCUUUCCACAGGGUCGUCCUGGCAUGAUGCCGGUACCACAACCACCCCCGCCCGGGGCAAUGUAAGGUGUGUUUGAUUUUUAAUCUGUUGAUUUUGUUGCUUGUGGGUGGUGCCUUACAUAUUGAUGCUGCUGGUGGGUUAUUGUGCAUUUUUGUAUGUCAUGUGGGUGUGGGCAGGUAAACAGUCGCUGUUGGCAGGUGUAGCAGUGAAAUCCGGCUCCCUUGGUUUGUGCUUCGAUUUAACAGUUUGUUAUUUGAUUUAGUGGUCUCGCUUGUCGCUGCAUGCUUGCGUUUGACAGGUUAGGACUGAAGGUUUGACAUGGCUUGACUGUCUUCCACAGGAACAUGAAGUGCAUCUUGUUGAAUACAGAGGUACGAGUAGAGUAGUAAAUCAACACACAUCCUUCAACGGUAUUGUGAUAUUGUUCUUGUUGUUGGAUCUGCAUUAUUGCUGUUGUACAUGAUCCUGUAUGAUGCGUUGAUGUUCAUGAUCAUGUUGGUAGUAUGGGGUUCGUGUGUACGUAGUUGAGUAGGUACUGAAGAUGCAUUUGUCAGUCAGUUGGAGACCGAACGAAGUACAUUGUUUUACUGCGUGGCCAAGUGAGAGAUAUCUGGCCUGUAGUCAGAUACGUCAGACGAUUGUAGUUUCCUUGAAUGUCCGUAAACGCUCGCAUCUCAGAGGAUGACCGAAAUGUCAGCUAUUGUAGUUUGAUCGUUGAUGAAGACUGGCAGAUAAUGAUAUAUUGUCGGUACAUGAUGGAAUGGACUAUGCACGAACCAGUUUGUUUCAUGCAGAGCUGCUGUUUCUGUGAGACUUUGUGCUCGAGGAGCUUUUGUGUACAUUUUAUGUUUGCACAUCAAAGUUGAGUAUGGAGUAAUAACGUUGUGUUUUUGUUAUGAAAUUGAACACACAAUGUACGUACUGGGAUAUGAUAGGUUUGUAGUCAUUUUGGCAGCUACUGUUGGUUCUAGACAGACCCACAAAGGUGCCUGUUUGUCUAGAGGCUUCUAACACAUUCUACUACUAAAGUCAGUGUCCUCUGCUGAAGUCUGCAGGUGUAGUGCCUUACAAUGAAAGGCAGAGCUGCAUGCCCUUGAUUAACAUGCUCGCUGUUGGUAGAUAGAAUAAUGUGCCUGCAUUUAUAGUCUAUUAUAAAUUUUCUUUUGCCUGACCUACAUU